AGGAUAAACGCUGGCGGCGUGCCUAACACAUGCAAGUCGAGCGCCCCGCAAGGGGAGCGGCAGACGGGAGAGUAACACGUGGGAACGUACCCUUUGGUUCGGAACAACACAGGGAAACUUGUGCUAAUACCGGAUAAGCCCUUACGGGGAAAGAUUUAUUGCCAAAGGAUCGGCCCGCGUCUGAUUAGCUUGUUGGUGAGGUAACGGCUCACCAAGGCUACGAUCAGUAGCUGGUCUGAGAGGAUGAUCAGCCUCACUGGGACUGAGACACGGCCCAGACUCCUACGGGAGGCAGCAGUGGGGAAUAUUGGACAAUGGGCGCAAGCCUGAUCCAGCCAUGCCGCGUGGAUGAUGAAGGCCCUAGGGUUGUAAAGUCCUUUCGACGGGGAAGAUAAUGACGGUACCCGUAGAAGAAGCCCCGGCUAACUUCGUGCUAGCAGCCGC
This 444-nucleotide ribosomal RNA is filed under the name uncultured bacterium. Its description in RNAcentral is "SSU rRNA". It matches the Rfam family "Bacterial small subunit ribosomal RNA", at positions 26 to 518 of the family's 1533-position model. The record is from RNAcentral.